This 77-nucleotide transfer RNA is filed under the name Lampropedia puyangensis. RNAcentral's name for it is "tRNA-Met". It matches the Rfam family "tRNA". From Rfam's summary of the family: Transfer RNA (tRNA) molecules are approximately 80 nucleotides in length. Their secondary structure includes four short double-helical elements and three loops (D, anti-codon, and T loops). The record is from RNAcentral. Lineage: Bacteria; Pseudomonadati; Pseudomonadota; Betaproteobacteria; Burkholderiales; Comamonadaceae. RNAcentral also lists the same sequence under 1 other name.
GGGCCUAUAGCUCAGUUGGUUAGAGCAGAGGACUCAUAAUCCUUUGGUCGCAGGUUCGAGCCCUGCUGGGCCUACCA